GACGAACGCUGGCGGCGUGCCUAAUACAUGCAAGUAGAACGCUGAAGGAGGAGCUUGCUCUUCUGGAUGAGUUGCGAACGGGUGAGUAACGCGUAGGUAACCUGCCUGGUAGCGGGGGAUAACUAUUGGAAACGAUAGCUAAUACCGCAUAACAGUAGAUGUUGCAUGACAUUUACUUAAAAGGUGCAAUUGCCUCACUACCAGAUGGACCUGCGUUGUAUUAGCUAGUUGGUGGGGUAACGGCUCACCAAGGCGACGAUACAUAGCCGGCCUGAGAGGGGGAUCGGCCACACUGGGACUGAGACACGGCCCAGACUCCUACGGGAGGCAGCAGUAGGGAAUCUUCGGCAAUGGACGGAAGUCUGACCGAGCAACGCCGCGUGAGGGAAGAAGGGUUUCGGAUCGUAAAGCUCUGUUGUAAGAGAAGAACGAGUGUGAGAGUGGAAAGUUCACACUGUGACGGUAUCUUACCAGAAAGGGACGGCUAACUACGUG
This 495-nucleotide ribosomal RNA is filed under the name uncultured bacterium. RNAcentral's name for it is "partial 16S ribosomal RNA". It matches the Rfam family "Bacterial small subunit ribosomal RNA", at positions 28 to 507 of the family's 1533-position model. The record is from RNAcentral.